GGAGAGGUGCCAGAGCGGUUGAAUGGGCUGGUUUCGAAAACCAGUAAGCGGCUUGCCGCUUCGGGAGUUCGAAUCUCCCCCUCUCCG
This 87-nucleotide transfer RNA is filed under the name Phycisphaeraceae bacterium. Its description in RNAcentral is "tRNA-Ser". It matches the Rfam family "tRNA". Rfam says of the family: Transfer RNA (tRNA) molecules are approximately 80 nucleotides in length. Their secondary structure includes four short double-helical elements and three loops (D, anti-codon, and T loops). The record is from RNAcentral. RNAcentral also lists the same sequence under 1 other name. Lineage: Bacteria; Pseudomonadati; Planctomycetota; Phycisphaerae; Phycisphaerales; Phycisphaeraceae.